This 430-nucleotide ribosomal RNA is filed under the name uncultured bacterium. Its description in RNAcentral is "bacterial SSU rRNA". It matches the Rfam family "Bacterial small subunit ribosomal RNA", at positions 958 to 1392 of the family's 1533-position model. The record is from RNAcentral.
AACGCGAAGAACCUUACCAAGGCUUAAAUGGGAAAUGACAGGUUUAGAAAUAGACUUUUCUUCGGACAUUUUUCAAGGUGCUGCAUGGUUGUCGUCAGCUCGUGCCGUGAGGUGUUAGGUUAAGUCCUGCAACGAGCGCAACCCCUGUCACUAGUUGCCAUCAUUAAGUUGGGGACUCUAGUGAGACUGCCUACGCAAGUAGAGAGGAAGGUGGGGAUGACGUCAAAUCAUCAUGGCCCUUACGAGUAGGGCUACACACGUGCUACAAUGGCGCAUACAAAGAGAAGCGACCUCGCGAGAGCAAGCGGACCUCAUAAAGUGCGUCGUAGUCCGGAUUGGAGUCUGCAACUCGACUCCAUGAAGUCGGAAUCGCUAGUAAUCGUAGAUCAGAAUGCUACGGUGAAUACGUUCCCGGGUCUUGUACACACCG